RNAcentral lists this unclassified non-coding RNA (293 nucleotides) under uncultured Gemmatimonadaceae bacterium. RNAcentral's name for it is "contains 16S-23S intergenic spacer region". Lineage: Bacteria; Pseudomonadati; Gemmatimonadota; Gemmatimonadia; Gemmatimonadales; Gemmatimonadaceae. The record is from RNAcentral.
AGGACUACAGGGGUAUCUAAUCCUGUUUGCUCCCCACGCUGUCGCGCCUCAGUGUCAGUUACUGCCCAGCAGGCCGCCUUCGCCACCGGUCUUCUAUCGGAUCUCUACGCAUUCCACCGCUACACCCGAUAUUCUACCUGCCUCUACAGUACUCAAGCCUUGCAGUAUUCACGGCAGACCCGGGGUUGAGCCCCGGGCUUUCACCGCAAACUUACAAAGCCACCUACGCGCCCUUUACGCCCAGUGAUUCCGGACAACGCUCGCACCCCCCGUAUUACCGCGGCGGCUGACAC